Non-coding RNA from Phyllosticta citriasiana, 99 nucleotides. Lineage: Eukaryota; Fungi; Ascomycota; Dothideomycetes; Botryosphaeriales; Phyllostictaceae. The record is from the annotation of a GenBank genome assembly.
UCCGUUAUGGUCUAGUGGCUAGGAUUUGUCGCUCUCAGCAAGAGUUCUCCAGUCUCUCUAAGUGCCGACAAGGCCGGGGUUCAAUUCCCCGUGACGGAA